GGAUGAACGCUGGCGGCGUGCCUACUACAUGCAAGUCGAGCGAGCGGACGAGAAGCUUGCUUCUCUGAUGUUAGCGGCGGACGGGUGAGUAACACGUGGAUAACCUACCUAUAAGACUGGGAUAACUUCGGGAAACCGGAGCUAAUACCGGAUGAUAUUUUGAACCGCAUGGUUCAAAAGUGAAAGACGGUCUUGCUGUCACUUAUAGAUGGAUCCGCGCUGCAUUAGCUAGUUGGUAAGGUAACGGCUUACCAAGGCAACGAUGCAUAGCCGACCUGAGAGGGUGAUCGGCCACACUGGAACUGAGACACGGUCCAGACUCCUACGGGAGGCAGCAGUAGGGAAUCUUCCGCAAUGGGCGAAAGCCUGACGGAGCAACGCCGCGUGAGUGAUGAAGGUCUUCGGAUCGUAAAACUCUGUUAUUAGGGAAGAACAUAUGUGUAAGUAACUGUGCACAUCUUGACGGUACCUAAUCAGAAAGCCACGGCUAACUACGUG
This 498-nucleotide ribosomal RNA is filed under the name uncultured bacterium. RNAcentral's name for it is "partial 16S ribosomal RNA". It matches the Rfam family "Bacterial small subunit ribosomal RNA", at positions 27 to 507 of the family's 1533-position model. The record is from RNAcentral.